RNAcentral lists this ribosomal RNA (528 nucleotides) under uncultured bacterium. Its description in RNAcentral is "partial 16S ribosomal RNA". It matches the Rfam family "Bacterial small subunit ribosomal RNA", at positions 355 to 874 of the family's 1533-position model. The record is from RNAcentral.
UGGGGAAUUUUGGACAAUGGGGGCAACCCUGAUCCAGCAAUGCCGCGUGUGUGAAGAAGGCCUUCGGGUUGUAAAGCACUUUUGUCCGGGAAGAAAUCCCCUGCCCUAAUACGGCGGGGGGAUGACGGUACCGGAAGAAUAAGCACCGGCUAACUACGUGCCAGCAGCCGCGGUAAUACGUAGGGUGCGAGCGUUAAUCGGAAUUACUGGGCGUAAAGCGUGCGCAGGCGGUGAUGUAAGACCGAUGUGAAAUCCCCGGGCUCAACCUGGGGAACUGCAUUGGUGACUGCAUUGCUCGAGUAUGGCAGAGGGGGGUGGAAUUCCACGUGUAGCAGUGAAAUGCGUAGAGAUGUGGAGGAACACCGAUGGCGAAGGCAGCCCCCUGGGCCAAUACUGACGCUCAUGCACGAAAGCGUGGGGGAGCAAACAGGAUUAGAUACCCUGGUAGUCCACGCCCUAAACGAUGUCAACUGGUUGUCGGGCCUUCAUUGGCUUGGUAACGUAGCUAACGCGUGAAGUUGACCGCCU